GCAAAGAUAGGGCCAGGAGGAGACAAGUUAAGAAGAGCAAUUCAGGGUCUUAAAAGGAGAGAAUGACUCAUAAACUGUGGGUAGGAAAAUAACACCAUUUUGAGGGAACAAAGGUAACAGGAGCGAGUCAAAAUCAAACGUGUCAUGCUGGAAGCUACCAGUCUUACCCAGAGCCUCAGCCAGGAGGAGGGUAAUUGUGUAACCAGACACUGAUCCCUCCCUCCACCUCUUGUGCGCUCGUUUCUGCUCUGACCCAGCUGCUCCAGGCAGAUGCUAUGCUAACCCAGGAAUAAGGCAUAGUUUAGCCCUGAGGACCUGGAAAGAUGUGGCCGAAAACAUGACUUUCAAAGGGGUGCAGUGGCGCACACCAACAACACCGGCCCCAGGCGGCCAAGGCGCAAGGAUGGCGAGUUCAAGUCCAGCCUGGCG
Molecule: long non-coding RNA, 429 nt
Filed under: Fukomys damarensis (Damara mole-rat)
Lineage: Eukaryota; Metazoa; Chordata; Mammalia; Rodentia; Bathyergidae
Description: lncRNA (ENSFDAG00000032888.1)
Source: RNAcentral